GACGAACGCUGGCGGCGUGCUUAACACAUGCAAGUCGAACGGAAAGGCCCUGCGUUUGUGGGGUGCUCGAUUGGCGAACGGGUGAGUAACACGUGAGUAACCUGCCCUUGACUUUGGGAUAACUUCAGGAAACUGGGGCUAAUACCGGAUAGGAUCUUCUGCUGCAUGGUGGGGGUUGGAAAGUUUCGGCGGUUGGGGAUGGACUCGCGGGUUAUCAGCUUGUUUGUGGGGUAGUGGCGUACCAAGGCUUUGACGGGUAGCCGGCCUGAGAGGGUGACCGGCCACAUUGGGACUACGAUACGGACCAGAAUCCUACGGGCGGCAGCAGUGGGGAAUAUUGCACAAUGGGCGGAAGCCUGAUGCAGCAACGCCGCGUGCGGGAUGCCGGCCUUCUGGUUGUAAACCGCUUUCGCCUGUGACGAAGCGUGAGUGACGGUAAUGGGUAAAGAAGCACCGGCUAACUACGUG
RNAcentral lists this ribosomal RNA (468 nucleotides) under uncultured bacterium. RNAcentral describes it as "partial 16S ribosomal RNA". It matches the Rfam family "Bacterial small subunit ribosomal RNA", at positions 28 to 507 of the family's 1533-position model. The record is from RNAcentral.